Molecule: ribosomal RNA, 257 nt
Filed under: uncultured bacterium
Lineage: Bacteria
Description: partial 16S ribosomal RNA
Rfam family: Bacterial small subunit ribosomal RNA
Source: RNAcentral
UACAGAGGUCUCAAGCGUUGUUCGGAUUCAUUGGGCGUAAAGGGUGCGUAGGCGGCGCGGUAAGUCGGGUGUGAAAUCUCGGAGCUUAACUCCGAAACUGCAUUCGAUACUGCCGUGCUUGAGGACUGGAGAGGGAGAUCGAUUGAACGUUGGUAGUGAGCGGAUGAACGUAGAUAAUCGUAAGGAAGACCAGUGGCGAAGGCGGGUCUCUGGACAGUUCCUGACGCUGAGGCACGAAGGUCAGGGGAGCAAACGGG